This 494-nucleotide ribosomal RNA is filed under the name uncultured bacterium. RNAcentral's name for it is "partial 16S ribosomal RNA". It matches the Rfam family "Bacterial small subunit ribosomal RNA", at positions 28 to 507 of the family's 1533-position model. The record is from RNAcentral.
GACGAACGCUGGCGGCGUGCUUAACACAUGCAAGUCGAACGGAAAGGCCUGCUUUCCCUUGUGGAUUGCGGGUACUCGAGUGGCGAACGGGUGAGUAACACGUGAGUGAUCUGCCCCCAACUUGGGUAUAAGCCUGGGAAACUGGGUCUAAUUCCCGAUAGGACUGCAGGGUGGUGCCUGUGGUGGAAAACGAUUUUCUAGUGGUUGGGGAUGAGCUCGCGGCCUAUCAGCUUGUUGGUGGGGUAAUGGCCUACCAAGGCGGCGACGGGUAGCCGGCCUGAGAGGGUGGACGGCCACAUGUGGACUGAGAUACGGCCCAGACUCCUACGGGAGGCAGCAGUGGGGAAUAUUGCACAAUGGGCGGAAGCCUGAUGCAGCGACGCCGCGUGGGGGAUGACGGCCUUCGGGUGGUAAACUCCUUUCGACCGCGAGGAAGCCGCCUGGUUGGAAGGGUGGUGACGGUAGUGGUAGAAGAAGCACCGGCUAACUACGUG